RNAcentral lists this ribosomal RNA (386 nucleotides) under uncultured bacterium. RNAcentral describes it as "bacterial SSU rRNA". It matches the Rfam family "Bacterial small subunit ribosomal RNA", at positions 28 to 416 of the family's 1533-position model. The record is from RNAcentral.
GACGAACGCUGGCGGCGUGCUUAACACAUGCAAGUCGAGCGGUAAGGCUCCUUCGGGAGUACACGAGCGGCGAACGGGUGAGUAACACGUGAGCAAUCUGCCCUUCACUUUGGGAUAACUCCGGGAAACCGGUGCUAAUACCGAAUGCGACCACUUCAGGCAUCUGACGGUGGUGGAAAGUUCCGGCGGUGAAGGAUGAGCUCGCGGCCUAUCAGCUUGUUGGUGAGGUAAUGGCUCACCAAGGCUUCGACGGGUAGCCGGCCUGAGAGGGUGACCGGCCACACUGGGACUGAGACACGGCCCAGACUCCUACGGAGGCAGCAGUGGGGAAUAUUGGACAAUGGGCGAAAGCCUGAUCCAGCAACGCCGCGUGAGGGAUGACGGCC